Non-coding RNA from Arachis ipaensis, 498 nucleotides. The record is from RefSeq and is a predicted model, not a curated record. NCBI's taxonomy places the organism in Eukaryota, Viridiplantae, Streptophyta, Magnoliopsida, Fabales, Fabaceae.
AUCAAAGUAUGCAUCAAUAUGCUGCUCCACACAAUGCUCACUCCUCUCAGGGCAUCUUCCAGCCUCUGGAAUGCAACCCCACUUUGCAGAUUGGCAGUGACUAUAGGUACAAUGGGGUAGGGCCAGAUCAUAUAACUGCAACAACAACAACUCAAGCUCAACAAGUGAGUGGUUUCAUCCCUGGAUAGAUGCUUUGAGCUCAUCACUAUAUUCAACUUUUGCAACAUUAAAAGGAAAAGCCAAAAGAAAAAGCACCUCACAAAAAAAGAAGGGUGUAAAAUUAAAGCCAAAAGAAAAAAAAAUGUUUGUGAUCACGUUUUACAGCUUUCAUAUAAUUAUAAAUAGGUUACUUUUUUGGUAGCAUAGGUGUUAGUAGCUAAGCAUGAUUAUGGUUUGACUGGCCAAUAGCCUUAUUACAUGUGGUGUAAUAUGAGGUUGUCAUCGAAAAUGUUAAUUAUUUGGUCUAAAGAGAGUGUAUUUGUCUUGGAGUUUUCAUUG